AUGGAGUAUAGCCAAGUGGUAAGGCAUCGGUUUUUGGUACCAGCAUGCAAAGGUUCAAAUCCUUUUACUCCAGAUUAUGAACACCCGAUCGGAUCUGUCAAAAACGAGCUGACGACUACAGGGGAAGCGGCUGACUGCAGUCCUUGAGCCUAGCUAGGCGC
Molecule: transfer RNA, 161 nt
Filed under: Helianthus annuus (common sunflower)
Lineage: Eukaryota; Viridiplantae; Streptophyta; Magnoliopsida; Asterales; Asteraceae
Description: hypothetical non coding rna
Rfam family: tRNA (bases 2-73)
Source: RNAcentral